GAUCCUGGCUCAGAAUCAACGCUGGCGGCGUGCCUCAGACAUGCAAGUCGAACGAGAACCUCCCUUCGGGGAGGGGACAGUGGCGCACGGGUGAGUAACACGUGGGUAAUUUACCUUUGGGUGGGGAACAACAGCCGGAAACGGCUGCUAAUACCGCAUAAUGCAGCGGCUCGACAUCGAGACAGUUGUUAAAGCGGGGGAUCGCAAGACCUCGCGCCUAAAGAGAAGCCCGCGGCAGAUUAGCUAGUUGGUAGGGUAAUGGCCUACCAAGGCAACGAUCUGUAACCGGCCUGAGAGGGCGGUCGGUCACACUGACACUGACAUACGGGUCAGACUCCUACGGGAGGCAGCAGUCGGGAAUUUUGGGCAAUGGGCGAAAGCCUGACCCAGCAACGCCGCGUGAAGGAUGAAGCUUUUCGGAGUGUAAACUUCACAAGAAUGGGAAGAAUAAGUUUAGGAUAAUACCCUGAACGAUGACGGUACCAUUUGUAAGCUCCGGCUAACUCCGUGCCAGCAGCCGCGGUAAUACGGGGGGAGCAAGCGUUGUUCGGAUUUACUGGGCGUAAAGGGCGCGUAGGCGGCGCGACAAGUCACUUGUGAAAUCUCUGAGCUCAACUCAGAACGGUCAAGUGAUACUGUCGUGCUAGAGUGCGGAAGGGGCAACUGGAAUUCUUGGUGUAGCGGUGAAAU
This 690-nucleotide ribosomal RNA is filed under the name uncultured Acidobacteriota bacterium. RNAcentral describes it as "bacterial SSU rRNA". It matches the Rfam family "Bacterial small subunit ribosomal RNA", at positions 15 to 687 of the family's 1533-position model. Lineage: Bacteria; Pseudomonadati; Acidobacteriota. The record is from RNAcentral.